ACCACUUCGCUUACAACCCAAUUUUCAUUCUUCCGUCGUCCCCUAUCACUCUCACAUACUUUCUCUCUCCUUCCCUCAAAUUUUCGAUCUUCUUCGAUCUACUUCCCUCAAAUCUUCGGUGUUGACAAGUUUUGUUGUUGGUGUUGACAAGUUUUGUUGUAAUUAGGAUACUGUGAUGCAUUCAAGCCAGAUCCAAAUGUUGCUGAGUGAUGCUCCCUUGGAAAUAUUCAUCAAGAGCACAGGAAAGAGAAUGGAUGGGAUGCAAGUACUUGAUUCAUUAUUUUAAUUAUGAAACAAUUAACAAAAAGUAUGUGAUAUGGGGUCUAACUGCUGGGAUCUUGAUUCAAGCUGCAUCAGUUGUUCAUCAAAGACCACCACCAUUUCUGGAGCAGAAUCCCAAAUUUAAGGUUCCUACAAACCAGUUUGAUGAUUAGAAUAACAAGUCGUUGGUGUUUGGGGAUGUCUAUGGAGCUGUUUUUCUUCCUAAACAGGUGGAGCUUAAAAAAGCCCAGAAUGUGGACCUUAAAUUCCAAGUUCCUGGUGUUGGGAAAGCAUUU
Spinacia oleracea (spinach) is the source of this 557-nucleotide long non-coding RNA. RefSeq lists it as uncharacterized. The record is from RefSeq and is a predicted model, not a curated record. The transcript has 3 exons. NCBI's taxonomy places the organism in Eukaryota, Viridiplantae, Streptophyta, Magnoliopsida, Caryophyllales, Amaranthaceae.